This 697-nucleotide long non-coding RNA is filed under the name Mytilus galloprovincialis (Mediterranean mussel). The record is from RNAcentral. Lineage: Eukaryota; Metazoa; Mollusca; Bivalvia; Mytilida; Mytilidae.
GGGGCAUUACUUAAACAAGUAAUUUUUUAAAGUUACUUAUAUAAGUAAUUUUUGUUUUUGAAAAUAAAAAAAUUACUUAAUAGAGUUAUUUUAAAUUUCAAUAAAACAUAGACUAAAUGUAGUUUUGAUGAGUUUUUACAUAAUUUCAUAUCAUAAAGUUAAGAAUUCAUUAUAUUUGAGAGGAUUAUAGAGAUUAAGGGUUACUUUAAAAAUUAUGACAAAAUUAUUACUCGAAUAAGUUAUUUGAUACAUUUUUAAUAAAAUUAGUAUUAAAACUUAUUUAAGGAACAUAUGCACUUGGUUUUGGGUUACAAAUUAUAAAUAACUUCAAGUCUUAAUCAAUUCACAAGUAUCUAUCUAUUUAUAUCAGUCUACCUUCAAGAUUUUGGAGAAAAUGAGAAUUUAAUUGUCCCAAGAUACCAAUCUUUGACCAAGAAGCGUAGGUAUGAAAGAUAAGUGCGUCAAAAAGUUAAUUAGUGUUUCAGAAGGAUUAGAUUUAAUAUGUCAGGGGAAAAAUAACCAGAUGACUGUGAAAAAUUGUUAAACCUAGUAAAAUCUGUAUUAUUGGACACCUAUAAAAAUAAUAUUCAGAAAAGUUACUUAUAUAAGUAACAUUUAAAAUAGCCUCGUUUUCAACAUUACUUGAAUAGGUAAUUUUAAUUGUUACUUGUUUAAGUAAUGCCCCUGACUGAUGUAG